Molecule: ribosomal RNA, 384 nt
Filed under: uncultured eukaryote
Lineage: Eukaryota
Description: SSU rRNA
Rfam family: Eukaryotic small subunit ribosomal RNA
Source: RNAcentral
AGCUCCAAUAGCGUAUAUUAAAGUUGUUGCAGUUAAAAAGCUCGUAGUUGGAUUUCUGGUGCAUUCCACUGGCCUAUUGGUUAACUCCAACUUGGCUCAUUUGGAAUACGCCAUCUUUAGGCAGACCCGUCGUGGCAUUAGGUUGUCGUGAUGGUUACGCCUAUCGUUUACUGUGAAGAAAUUAGGGUGUUCAAAGCAGGCUUAUGCCAUGAAUACGUUAGCAUGGAAUAAUGAGAUAGGAUUUCGGUACUAUUUUGUUGGUUUGUGUACGGAAAUAAUGAUUAACAGGAACAGUGUUGUGGGUAUUCGUAUUUCGUUGUCAGAGGUGAAAUUCUUGGAUUUACGAAAGACGAACGACUGCGAAAGCAUUUACCAAGGAUGUUU